Molecule: transfer-messenger RNA, 337 nt
Filed under: Alkalihalobacterium chitinilyticum
Lineage: Bacteria; Bacillati; Bacillota; Bacilli; Caryophanales; Bacillaceae
Rfam family: transfer-messenger RNA
About the family: Bacterial tmRNA, also known as 10Sa RNA or SsrA, is named for its dual tRNA and mRNA-like properties. Its role is to liberate the mRNA from a stalled ribosome.
Source: RNAcentral
UUUGGAUUCGACAGGGGUGGGUUGAGCUUAAGUUGCGAGUCGAGGGGGUCGGCCUCGUUAAAACGCCAACGCCUAUAACUGGCAAAACUAACAAUAACUUCGCAGUAGCAGCUUAAUAGCGCUUUGCGGUUCCACCCUCCAUCGCCCAUGUGGUAGGGACUGGGACUCACUCUAAGUGGGCUACGCCGGCUGUCCUCCGUCUGAGGACGAAGGAAGAGAUUAAUCAGACUAGCCUUACUGAAGCCUGUUACUGGGCCAACGUAAGUGCGAAAUGCUAAUACAGUAACUACACUCGUAGAAGCUUAAGUGUCGACAUUCUUGGACGUGGGUUCGAUCA